UACGGAGGGAGCUAGCGUUAUUCGGAAUCACUGGGCUUAAAGCGCGUGUAGGCGGGCCGGCACGUCGGUCGCUGAAAGCCCCCGGCUCAACCGGGGAACGGGCGCCGAUACGACCGCCCUGGAGGGACGUAGGGGGACCUGGAACACCCGGUGGAGCGGUGAAAUGCGUUGAGAUCGGAUGGAACGCCCGUGGCGAAAGCGAGGUCCUGGACGUUUUCUGACGCUGAGACGCGAAAGCCAGGGGAGCGAACGGG
Molecule: ribosomal RNA, 254 nt
Filed under: uncultured bacterium
Lineage: Bacteria
Description: partial 16S ribosomal RNA
Rfam family: Bacterial small subunit ribosomal RNA
Source: RNAcentral